UUACGGUCAAAUCACUCUGAAACACCGGUUCUCGUUCGAUCACCGAAGUUAAGCAUCGUAGAGCCAGAUCAGUACUUAGAUGGGGGACCACUUGGGAACACCUGGUACUGUAAG
This 114-nucleotide ribosomal RNA is filed under the name Acanthosepion pharaonis. The record is from RNAcentral. Lineage: Eukaryota; Metazoa; Mollusca; Cephalopoda; Sepiida; Sepiidae.